GAUGAACGCUAGCGGCAGGCUUAAUACAUGCAAGUCGAGGGGCAGCAGGACUGUAGCAAUACAGUUGCUGGCGACCGGCAAACGGGUGCGGAACACGUACGCAACCUACCCAAAACUGGGGAAUAGCCCGGGGAAACCCGGAUUAAUACCUCGUAACAUAAUGAUGUGGCAUCACAUUAUUAUUAUAGCUCCGGCGGUUUUGGAUGGGCGUGCGCCUGAUUAGGUAGUUGGCGGGGUAACGGCCCACCAAGCCUGCGAUCAGUAACUGGUGUGAGAGCACGACCAGUCACACGGGCACUGAGACACGGGCCCGACUCCUACGGGAGGCAGCAGUAAGGAAUAUUGGUCAAUGGACGCAAGUCUGAACCAGCCGUGCCGCGUGAAGGAUGAAGGUCCUCUGGAUUGUUAAACUUUCUUUUAUAUGGGACGAAACCCCGGGUAAUUCCUUCCCGAUUGACGGUACCAUAAGAAUAAG
RNAcentral lists this ribosomal RNA (475 nucleotides) under uncultured bacterium. Its description in RNAcentral is "bacterial SSU rRNA". It matches the Rfam family "Bacterial small subunit ribosomal RNA", at positions 28 to 490 of the family's 1533-position model. The record is from RNAcentral.